Long non-coding RNA from Dermacentor silvarum, 723 nucleotides. RefSeq lists it as uncharacterized. The transcript has 2 exons. NCBI's taxonomy places the organism in Eukaryota, Metazoa, Arthropoda, Arachnida, Ixodida, Ixodidae. The record is from RefSeq and is a predicted model, not a curated record.
AACGGCUUAUCUUUGCUGCGACGCCGACAUGCCGUGCACGCCACUUUUACGACUGUGAACAUGUUGCACCCACCGCACAUGCCACGCUGCCAUGUACAAGUUGCCACGGUGAAUGCUGCUUGAACAAGGCCAUGACACAUUUCCAGAUCUGUCCACUAAGAUUUACGACAUAGUCCACGCGAGGCAAGGACAACAUAGCAAAGACGUCUUCGUACUUCCGGCACGUGGAUCAGCCUUUCUUUUUGAGUCAUGUUGUUCAUCAACGGUAUAAAAGACGACUGCAUUCGGCAUUCAUUAUCUCGCCAGAGAGAAACCACAAGUGGACAUCUUUUCCGAAUAUCGAGAGAGACUUUGUGUGGCGUUGCGGCAAUGAAGCCUGGAACUCUGCUUGGCGUUGCUGCCUUCGGCUUCUUCAUCUGCGUAACGGUCAAUCUUCUCUUCGACUGCGCAACCGCGGAGAAAGAGGUGACCACAACGUGUUUCGUGGACAGAGGUAAAGAAGACUGCAGCCGUUACAAACCGGACGGGAAGACCUGCGAUGACCUGAAGUGCGAGCAGAAAAAUCAAAUCUGCUGCAUGAAAGAUUGCAACAUGACCCAUUUCUGCUUGCGGGAAACAAUAUAAGGCCAAAUCCAUGAAGACGUACAAGGAGCAUACGGCUACCGCAGACAGCAGCGCAUAUAAUCCAGAAUAAACAUUCACGCUUGGUUUGGGUUUUCUACU